AUUGAACGCUGGCGGCAUGCCUUACACAUGCAAGUCGAACGGUAACAGGUCUUCGGAUGCUGACGAGUGGCGAACGGGUGAGUAAUACAUCGGAACGUGCCUAGUAGUGGGGGAUAACUACUCGAAAGAGUGGCUAAUACCGCAUGAGAUCUACGGAUGAAAGCAGGGGAUCGCAAGACCUUGUGCUACUAGAGCGGCCGAUGGCAGAUUAGGUAGUUGGUGGGAUAAAAGCUUACCAAGCCGACGAUCUGUAGCUGGUCUGAGAGGACGAUCAGCCACACUGGGACUGAGACACGGCCCAGAGUCCUACGGGAGGCAGCAGUGGGGAAUUUGGGACAAUGGGCGCAAGCCGGAUCCAGCAAUGCCGCGUGCAGGAUGAAGGCCUUCGGGUUGUAAACUGCUUUUGUACGGAACGAAAAGCCCCGGGUUAAUACCCUGGGGUCAUGACGGUACCGUAAGAAUAAGCACCGGCUAACUACGUGCCAGCCGCCGCGGUAA
This 498-nucleotide ribosomal RNA is filed under the name uncultured bacterium. RNAcentral's name for it is "partial 16S ribosomal RNA". It matches the Rfam family "Bacterial small subunit ribosomal RNA", at positions 30 to 523 of the family's 1533-position model. The record is from RNAcentral.